RNAcentral lists this ribosomal RNA (250 nucleotides) under uncultured bacterium. RNAcentral's name for it is "partial 16S ribosomal RNA". It matches the Rfam family "Archaeal small subunit ribosomal RNA", at positions 473 to 720 of the family's 1478-position model. The record is from RNAcentral.
ACACCGGCGGCCCGAGUGGUGGCCACUAUUAUUGGGUCUAAAGGGUCCGUAGCCGGUUUGGUCAGUCUUCCGGGAAAUCUGACGGCUCAACCGUUAGGCGUUUCGGGGGAUACUACCAGGCUUGGGACCGGGAGAGGUAAGAGGUACGUACGGGGGUAGGAGUGAAAUCUUGUAAUCCCUGUGGGACCACCAGUGGCGAAGGCGUCUUACCAGAACGGGUCCGACGGUGAGGGACGAAAGCUGGGGGCAC